RNAcentral lists this ribosomal RNA (1914 nucleotides) under Triticum aestivum (bread wheat). RNAcentral's name for it is "partial small subunit ribosomal RNA". The record is from RNAcentral. Lineage: Eukaryota; Viridiplantae; Streptophyta; Magnoliopsida; Poales; Poaceae.
AUGCUUCUUUUUUUGUCCAAGUCAAACGGCCUCAAGACGAACCUUCCUGAUCCCAUCAAGCUUGAGCAGCAUGGCUAUGCCACAAAAGAGGCCGUCUUGAUAUCUUUAAAGAGGGCCGUCAGCCGCUAUUCCAUGCUCCAGGCAGAUGACGGCCACUGGCCUGGGGAGUUCGCUGGCACUUUAUUUCUCUUGCCCAGCUUGAUUGUAGCAUUGCAUGUGACUAGAUCACUGACUACCGUGUUGACAUCUGAACAUCAAAAAGAGAUUCGGCGAUAUCUCUACAAUCACCAGAAUGAAGAUGGGGGCUGGGGACUGCACAUCGAGGGGACAAGCACAAUGUUCUGUUCUGUCAUGAACUAUGUCGCUUUGAGAUUGCUAUGGGAGGGGCUGGAUUCACAUGGAUCCAUGCUGCAAGCUCGGAGUUGGAUCUUGGACCAUGGAGGAGCAACUUUAACACCAUCUUGGGGAAAAUUCUUUCUUUCGGUCCUUGGAGUAUAUGAUUGGUCGGGGAACAAUCCAUUGCCACCAGAACUAUGGAUGGUGCCCUAUUUCUUGCCGAUUCAUCCAGGGCGCAUGUGGUGUCAUUCUCGUUUGGUAUACUUGCCCAUGUCAUACCUAUACGGGAAGAGGUUUGUUGGAACUACAACAUCAAUUGUACAAGACUUGAGGAACGAGCUCUACACCGUACCGUACAAUGAGAUUGACUGGGACAAGGCCCGCAAUGGGUGUGCCAAGGAAGAUCUAUAUUAUUCCCAUUCACCACUGCAAGAUAUCGUAUGGGCUACUCUCAAGAAAAUUGGUGAACCAAUAUUUCUGCACUGGCCUGGCAGCAAUUUGCGGAAGAGAGCUCUAGACAAUGUCAUGAAACAUAUAAAGUACGAGGAUGAAACUACUCAAUACUUAUGCAUUGGUCCUCUAAAUAAGAUGUUGAAUAUGAUUUGUUGCUGGGUAGAAGAUCCAAACUCAGAGGCAUUCAAACUCCAUGUUGAAAGAAUAUAUGAUUUCUUAUGGGUCGCCGAAGAUGGCAUGAAGCUGAAGUCUUACAAUGGCAGCCAACUAUGGGACACGGUUUUGACAGUUCAAGCUAUAUUUGCUACUGGCUUGACAAAAGAGUUCCCCCAUACAAUAAAACUUGCCCAUGACUAUAUAAAACGUUCACAGAUUUCUGCGAAUUUUCCUGGAGAUCAAACCAAGUGGCAUCGUCAUAUAUAUAAAGGUGGAUGGACACAUUCAACUGCCGACCAUGGGUGGCCAGUAUCAGAUUGUACUGCAGAAGCAUUGAAGGCUAUACUGUUGUUGAUUAAGCUUCCUCGUAAAUUGGUUGGCGAGCCUAUGGAAACAAGCCGGCUUGAUGAUGCAGUCAAUAUUCUAUUGUCUUUGAUGAACGACGAUGGUAGUUUUGGUGCAUAUGAGCUAACAAGAUCUUAUGAAUGGCUUGAGUUGCUCAAUCCUUCCGAGAGCUUUGGGGACAUAAUGAUCGAGCAUUCGUACGUUGAGUGUACAUCAUCAGUAAUUCAGGGUCUAGUGUUAUUUAGAGAAAUGUACCCCAAACAUUGUCACAUGGAAGAGAUAGAAAAUUGUAUCCAAAAGGCUGCAGACUACAUUGAGAGCAUCCAAAGGAGUGAUGGAUCAUGGUACGGCUGUUGGGCUAUUUGUUUUACCUAUGGUACAUGGUUUGGGGUGAGAGGAUUGAUUGCUGCAGGCAGAACGUACAAAAAUAGCCAAGCAAUCAGAAAAGCAUGUGAAUUUCUGCUAUCCAAGGAGCUUCUCCCAUUAGGGGGGUGGGGAGAAAGUUACCUCUCCGGUCAAGACAUGGUUUACACCAAUCUUGAAGGCAACCGGGCUCACGCAGUCAACACUAGUUGGGCCAUGUUGGCCCUAAUUGAUGCCGGACAUGUGAUUUUGUUCCUUUGA